ACCGCGGUAGCCCAGUUGGUUAGGGCGUCUGCAGUACUGAUGCCGAAGGUCGCAGGUUCAAAUCCUGCCUGCGGCG
Molecule: non-coding RNA, 76 nt
Organism: Phthorimaea operculella (potato tuberworm)
Lineage: Eukaryota; Metazoa; Arthropoda; Insecta; Lepidoptera; Gelechiidae
Source: the annotation of a GenBank genome assembly